GACGAACGCUGGCGGCGUGCUUAACACAUGCAAGUCGAACGGAAAGGCCCAGCUUGCUGGGUACUCGAGUGGCGAACGGGUGAGUAACACGUGGGUGAUCAGCCCCAAACUUCGGGAUAAGCCUGGGAAACUGGGUCUAAUACCGGAUAUGACCUGCUCCUGCAUGGGGGUUGGUGGAAAGCUUUUGCGGUUUGGGAUGGGCCCGCGGCCUAUCAGCUUGUUGGUGGGGUAAUGGCCUACCAAGGCGACGACGGGUAGCCGACCUGAGAGGGUGAUCGGCCACACUGGGACUGAGACACGGCCCAGACUCCUACGGGAGGCAGCAGUGGGGAAUAUUGCACAAUGGGCGCAAGCCUGAUGCAGCGACGCCGCGUGAGGGAUGACGGCCUUC
Molecule: ribosomal RNA, 391 nt
Filed under: uncultured bacterium
Lineage: Bacteria
Description: bacterial SSU rRNA
Rfam family: Bacterial small subunit ribosomal RNA
Source: RNAcentral